UUUCCGUAGGUGAACCUGCGGAAGGAUCAUUACUGAAGUCGCUGAGGGGUUCGCUGCUGGCUCUCCGGAGCAUGUGCACGCCUCUCACACUUUAUUCAACCACCUGUGCAUCUCCUGUAGUCUCUCAGACGCCUUUCAAUCUUCGGAUUGGUGGGGACUUGUUGCGCCUCGAAAGAGGAGCUUCAGUCCAAUGUCUGCGGGGCUACGUCUACACAUACACUGUAACAAUCACCAGAAUGCUUCACGGUCGUUUACGACCUUAAAAAUAAAAUACAACUUUCAACAACGGAUCUCUUGGCUCUCGCAUCGAUGAAGAACGCAGC
This 323-nucleotide unclassified non-coding RNA is filed under the name uncultured fungus. Its description in RNAcentral is "sequence contains ITS1, 5.8S rRNA gene". The stretch from base 275 to 323 matches the Rfam family "5.8S ribosomal RNA", at positions 1 to 49 of the family's 154-position model. The record is from RNAcentral. Lineage: Eukaryota; Fungi.